AGAGUUUGAUCAUGGCUCAGGAUGAACGCUGGCGGCGUGCUUAACACAUGCAAGUCGAACGAAGCACAGGAAGCCGAUCUUUCGGGUGAAGCAUCCUGUGACUUAGUGGCGGACGGGUGAGUAACGCGUGGGCAACCUGCCCUUAACCGGGGGACAACAGUUGGAAACGGCUGCUAAUACCGCAUAAGCGCACGGGACCGCAUGGUCGAGUGUGAAAAAUUCCGGUGGUUAAGGAUGGGCCCGCGUUGGAUUAGGUAGUUGGUGAGGUAACGGCCCACCAAGCCGACGAUCCAUAGCCGACCUGAGAGGGUGACCGGCCACAUUGGGACUGAGACACGGUCCAAACUCCUACGGGAGGCAGCAGUGAGGAAUAUUGGUCAAUGGGCGCGAGCCUGAACCAGCCAAGUAGCGUGCAGGAUGACGGCCCUAUGGGUUGUAAACUGCUUUUAUACAGGGAUAAAGUUGGGAACGUGUUCCCUUUUGCAGGUACUGUAUGAAUAAGGACCGGCUAAUUCCGUGCCAGCAGCCGCGGUAAUACGGAAGGUCCGGGCGUUAUCCGGAUUUAUUGGGUUUAAAGGGAGCGCAGGCCGGAGGUCAAGCGUGACGUGAAAUGUAGCCGCUCAACGGCUGAACUGCGUCGCGAACUGGCUUUCUUGAGUGAGUACGACGUCAGCGGAAUUCGUGGUGUAGCGGUGAAAUGCUUAGAUAUCACGAAGAACCCCGAUUGCGAAGGCAGCUGACGAGUCCUUAACUGACGCUAAAGCUCGAAGGUGCGGGUAUCGAACAGGAUUAGAUACCCUGGUAGUCCGCACGGUAAACGAUGGAUGCCCGCUGUCGGCGACAGACUGUCGGCGGCCAAGCGAAAGCGUUAAGCAUCCCACCUGGGGAGUACGCCGGCAACGGUGAAACUCAAAGGAAUUGACGGGGGCCCGCACAAGCGGAGGAACAUGUGGUUUAAUUCGAUGAUACGCGAGGAACCUUACCCGGGCUUGAACUGCAGGAGAACGAUCCAGAGAUGGUGAGGCCCUUCGGGGCUCCUGUGGAGGUGCUGCAUGGUUGUCGUCAGCUCGUGCCGUGAGGUGUCGGCUUAAGUGCCAUAACGAGCGCAACCCCUCUCUUCAGUUGCCAUCACUUCGGGUGGGCACUCUGGAGACACUGCCACCGUAAGGUGUGAGGAAGGUGGGGAUGACGUCAAAUUAGCACGGCCCUUACGUCCGGGGCUACACACGUGUUACAAUGGGUGGUACAGAGCGUCGGCCGCCGGCAACGUCGGUCCAAUCGUGAAAUCCAUCCUCAGUUCGGACUGGGGUCUGCAACCCGACCCCACGAAGCUGGAUUCGCUAGUAAUCGCGCAUCAGCCAUGGCGCGGUGAAUACGUUCCCGGGCCUUGUACACACCGCCCGUCAAGCCACGAAAGCCGGGGGCGCCUGAAGUCCGUGACCGCGAGGGUCGGCCUAGGGUGAAACCGGUGAUUGGGGCUAAGUCGUAACAAGGUAGCCGUA
Molecule: ribosomal RNA, 1502 nt
Filed under: uncultured rumen bacterium
Lineage: Bacteria
Description: bacterial SSU rRNA
Rfam family: Bacterial small subunit ribosomal RNA
Source: RNAcentral